GACGGAGGGUGCAAGCGUUGUUCGGAAUUACUGGGCGUAAAGCGCGUGUAGGCGGCUUGCUAAGUCUGAUGUGAAAGCCCGGGGCUCACCCCCGGAAGUGCAUUGGAAACUGGCGAGCUCGAGUCCCGGAGAGGAGGGUGGAAUUCCUGGUGUAGCGGUGAAAUGCGUAGAUAUCAGGAGGAACACCGGUGGCGAAGGCGGCCCUCUGGACGGUGACUGACGCUGAGACGCGAAAGCGUGGGGAGCAAACAGG
This 253-nucleotide ribosomal RNA is filed under the name uncultured bacterium. Its description in RNAcentral is "partial 16S ribosomal RNA". It matches the Rfam family "Bacterial small subunit ribosomal RNA", at positions 524 to 776 of the family's 1533-position model. The record is from RNAcentral.